RNAcentral lists this small nuclear RNA (275 nucleotides) under Erinaceus europaeus (western European hedgehog). RNAcentral describes it as "7SK RNA (ENSEEUG00000022280.1)". It matches the Rfam family "7SK RNA". Rfam says of the family: 7SK was discovered as an abundant small nuclear RNA in the mid-70s but a possible function has only recently been suggested. Lineage: Eukaryota; Metazoa; Chordata; Mammalia; Eulipotyphla; Erinaceidae. The record is from RNAcentral.
GGAUGUGAGGGGUAAUCGGGCUGCAACAUCUGUCACCUCAUUAUUUUCCAGGGUUGGUUCAGCUCAUCUGGGUGGUUGGAUGGUUGCCUCUUUUCUCUCUCACCACACCAUGUGAGUCUCUUCUGAGGCUGCACUUAAAGAGGAUGCAGGAUGUCCAAGAAGAUGACCUUUCUCUGAGUAGAGAUUGAGCUGUCUUCAGUUAUACAUAUAGGGAGCAGCUGUGCUCAAGGUCUCAAAAAGAUAUAGAUAUUAGUUGUGGGAAAGUCUUUUAAUGU